CUUCUAUCCAGAGUGGUGGAGGGAUCUGGCCCUACGAAACCACAGCAACCGGUCGAAUGACCAUGGUGCUAAUUCCAGCAGAAUUUUUCUGGAAGAUAGGAG
RNAcentral lists this non-coding RNA (102 nucleotides) under Tepidibacillus decaturensis. RNAcentral describes it as "SAM riboswitch aptamer (S box leader)". It matches the Rfam family "SAM riboswitch aptamer (S box leader)". From Rfam's summary of the family: The SAM riboswitch is found upstream of a number of genes which code for proteins involved in methionine or cysteine biosynthesis in Gram-positive bacteria. Lineage: Bacteria; Bacillati; Bacillota; Bacilli; Caryophanales; Bacillaceae. RNAcentral also lists the same sequence under 2 other names. The record is from Rfam by way of RNAcentral.